Molecule: transfer RNA, 65 nt
Filed under: Aleurodicus dugesii (Doogie Howzer whitefly)
Lineage: Eukaryota; Metazoa; Arthropoda; Insecta; Hemiptera; Aleyrodidae
Description: tRNA-Pro
Source: RNAcentral
CAGUAGAUAAUUUAAAAAAAAAAUAUUAAUUUUGGAAAUUAAAAAUAAAAUUAUUUUUCUACUGA